This 146-nucleotide unclassified non-coding RNA is filed under the name soil metagenome. RNAcentral describes it as "partial internal transcribed spacer 1". The record is from RNAcentral.
CCGAGUUUACAACUCCCAAACCCCUGUGAACAUACCACUUGUUGCCUCGGCGGAUCAGCCCGCGCCCCGUAAAACGGGACGGCCCGCCGCAGGAUCCACAAACUCUGUUUUUAUUGUAACUUCUGAGUAACAAAACAAAUAAAUCA